RNAcentral lists this ribosomal RNA (466 nucleotides) under uncultured bacterium. RNAcentral describes it as "bacterial SSU rRNA". It matches the Rfam family "Bacterial small subunit ribosomal RNA", at positions 330 to 793 of the family's 1533-position model. The record is from RNAcentral.
UCCAGACUCCUACGGGAGGCAGCAGUGAGGAAUAUUGGUCAAUGGGCGGGAGCCUGAACCAGCCAAGUCGCGUGAGGGAAGACGGUCCUACGGAUUGUAAACCUCUUUUGCCGGGGAGCAACGGGGUCCUUGCGAGGGCCCGAUGAGAGUACCCGGAGAAAAAGCAUCGGCUAACUCCGUGCCAGCAGCCGCGGUAAUACGGAGGAUGCGAGCGUUAUCCGGAUUUAUUGGGUUUAAAGGGUGCGCAGGCGGUCUGUAAAGUCGGGGGUAAAAGCCGGGGGCCCACCCCCGGCCCGCCGUUGAAACUGGCAGCCUCGAGUUGGAGAGAAGUAUGCGGAAUGCGCGGUGUAGCGGUGAAAUGCAUAGAUAUCGCGCAGAACUCCGAUUGCGAAGGCAGCAUGCCGGCUCCACACUGACGCUGAGGCACGAAAGCGUGGGUAUCGAACAGGAUUAGAUACCCUGGUAC